This 289-nucleotide unclassified non-coding RNA is filed under the name uncultured fungus. RNAcentral's name for it is "sequence contains ITS1, 5.8S rRNA gene". The stretch from base 241 to 289 matches the Rfam family "5.8S ribosomal RNA", at positions 1 to 49 of the family's 154-position model. The record is from RNAcentral. Lineage: Eukaryota; Fungi.
UUUCCGUAGGUGAACCUGCGGAAGGAUCAUUACCGAGUUAGGGUGUCGUCAGCGCCCGACCUCCAAACCUUUGUCUACCUGACCCUUUGUUGCUUCGGCAGGCCCGCUGACCCUCCCUUCACGGGGAGAGCCGGCCGCCGGGGGCCCUCAUCGGCUCCGGGCCCGCGCCUGUCGACGGCCAUCAUUAAAAACACUAGUUAAAAAUCAUGUCGUCUGAGUAAACAAACAAAAUUAAAACAAAACUUUCAACAACGGAUCUCUUGGUUCUGGCAUCGAUGAAGAACGCAGC